RNAcentral lists this ribosomal RNA (373 nucleotides) under uncultured bacterium. RNAcentral's name for it is "bacterial SSU rRNA". It matches the Rfam family "Bacterial small subunit ribosomal RNA", at positions 521 to 896 of the family's 1533-position model. The record is from RNAcentral.
UAAUACGGAGGAUCCAAGCGUUAUCCGGAAUCAUUGGGUUUAAAGGGUCCGUAGGCGGUUUAAUAAGUCAGUGGUGAAAUCCCAUCGCUCAACGGUGGAACGGCCAUUGAUACUGUUAGACUUGAAUAAUUAGGAAGUAACUAGAAUAUGUAGUGUAGCGGUGAAAUGCUUAGAUAUUACAUGGAAUACCAAUUGCGAAGGCAGGUUACUACUAAUGGAUUGACGCUGAUGGACGAAAGCGUGGGUAGCGAACAGGAUUAGAUACCCUGGUAGUCCACGCCGUAAACGAUGGAUACUAGCUGUUCGGGAUCACUCCUGAGUGGCUAAGCGAAAGUGAUAAGUAUCCCACCUGGGGAGUACGUUCGCAAGAAUG